ACGCUGGCGGCAGGCUUAACACAUGCAAGUCGAACGGUAACAGGAAUUAGCUUGCUAAUUUGCUGACGAGUGGCGGACGGGUGAGUAAUGCUUGGGAAUCUGGCUUAUGGAGGGGGAUAACUACGGGAAACUGUAGCUAAUACCGCGUAAAAUCUUCGGAUUAAAGGGUGGGACUUUCGAGCCACCUGCCAUAAGAUGAGCCCAAGUGGGAUUAGGUAGUUGGUUAGGUAAAGGCUGACCAAGCCGACGAUCUCUAGCUGGUCUGAGAGGAUGACCAGCCACACUGGAACUGAGACACGGUCCAGACUCCUACGGGAGGCAGCAGUGGGGAAUAUUGCACAAUGGGGGGAACCCUGAUGCAGCCAUGCCGCGUGAAUGAAGAAGGCCUUCGGGUUGUAAAGUUCUUUCGGUGACGAGGAAGGUUGAUAGGUUAAUAGCCUAUCAAAUUGACGUUAAUCACAGAAGAAGCACCGGCUAACUCCGUGCCAGCAGCCGCGGUAAUACGGGGGAUGCGAGCGUUAAUCGGAAUAACUGGGCGUAAAGGGCACGCAGGCGGUGACUUAAGUGAGAUGUGAAAGCCCCGAGCUUAACUUGGGAAUUGCAUUUCAUACUGGGUCGCUAGAGUACUUUAGGGAGGGGUAGAAUUCCACGUGUAGCGGUGAAAUGCGUAGAGAUGUGGAGGAAUACCGAAGGCGAAGGCAGCCCCUUGGGAAUGUACUGACGCUCAUGUGCGAAAGCGUGGGGAGCAAACAGGAUUAGAUACCCUGGUAGUCCACGCUGUAAACGAUGUCGAUUUGGGGAUUGGGCUUUGAGCUUGGUGCCCGUAGCUAACGUGAUAAAUCGACCGCCUGGGGAGUACGGCCGCAAGGUUAAAACUCAAAUGAAUUGACGGGGGCCCGCACAAGCGGUGGAGCAUGUGG
RNAcentral lists this ribosomal RNA (920 nucleotides) under uncultured bacterium. Its description in RNAcentral is "bacterial SSU rRNA". It matches the Rfam family "Bacterial small subunit ribosomal RNA", at positions 33 to 944 of the family's 1533-position model. The record is from RNAcentral.